Molecule: non-coding RNA, 29 nt
Filed under: Homo sapiens (human)
Lineage: Eukaryota; Metazoa; Chordata; Mammalia; Primates; Hominidae
Source: RNAcentral
UCCCACCCACAGCUGUUGCAGUCUACACA